GCCCCUUUAGCUCAAUGGAUAGAGCGUCUGGCUUCGGACCAGAAGGUUAAAGGUUCGAUUCCUUUAGGGGGCA
This 73-nucleotide transfer RNA is filed under the name Minisyncoccota bacterium. Its description in RNAcentral is "tRNA-Arg". It matches the Rfam family "tRNA". Rfam says of the family: Transfer RNA (tRNA) molecules are approximately 80 nucleotides in length. Their secondary structure includes four short double-helical elements and three loops (D, anti-codon, and T loops). Lineage: Bacteria; Bacillati; Minisyncoccota. The record is from RNAcentral.